RNAcentral lists this long non-coding RNA (1593 nucleotides) under Gallus gallus (chicken). RNAcentral's name for it is "lncRNA (ENSGALG00010006290.1)". The record is from RNAcentral. Lineage: Eukaryota; Metazoa; Chordata; Aves; Galliformes; Phasianidae.
UGCCAUAUGCUUCUCAUAACGCACACACAAAAGAAUUACAAAAAGGACUACGCACUCCUCAUACUCCUCAUCUUGAUCUUGUGUUCAGCUUGUAAAGUUCACUUCAAUCUGUUUGAGCAUAGGACAAACCAAAAGCCAUGUGUCCCAUCUCCACUGAAUUGAUGUGUAAGAGGUCAGAAAGAGCAACAGCUUUUUGAAGAUUGAUUAAUAAAGAACAUGAUGAUGAGCCUAAGUUCAAUUGUCAUCCUAUUUUCUCCCUGUGUCCUAUGGAGAAGGGGGGGUAAAUGAGCCCGUCUAUGUGCCAAGGCUAGCCCACCACAUUGUAGAGCACUGAAAAGGAAGAGAGAUGAAUGCUGACUGGAUUUCAGGAUUGGCUGCAAAAGCUGUACUGUAGAAGACCUCACUCACUUUUAAGAUUUUCCAGCACCAGAUCUUCCUUGGCUAUUUGGACUUAUUUUGCAGUCAUGUUAGCCAUCAUCCAUGUUGUUUGUUUCUUUCUGUUUAGCAUGAUUUCACUAAUAGUCAAAAUUUGCUAGCCCAGAUAGUGUCCCUGAUGCUUUUGCCUGAAACAUCUCUGUGGAAUGUCACUGAAAAAAAGGAAAUAGAAGAAAAAAAAAAAAAAAGUGAUUCAGAACAUAAUUUGUCUGACAAAAGCAAUGAAGCAAUAACCAUUCAACUCCAUGCAUGGAAAGGUUUUUGCUGUGGGACAUGGAGUCUACUGGGCUGUUCUUUGUGAGAAGAGUCUAGAAGCUGCCCAUUAUAGAUACAAGCCAGUUCCAUCUGCUGCUGUCCAAAGCAGAGCCAGUGAGAGAUGCUGAUUUUGCCUCUGUAAGAGCAUAUCUAAGAAAGGAGAAAAAAUCUGCUGUGCAGCAGCAGCUGGGAGAAAUGAGUGAGAAAAUGUAGAGUGAAACAAUUCUGCAGAUGCAAAGAUCAGUGCAGAAGGAGGGGGAGGAGGUGCUCCAGAUACAGAAGCAGAAGUACCCUGCAGCCUGUGUGACACCUAUAGCAGGCUGUCUCCCUGCAGCCCGUGGGCACCACAUGAAACAGAUCUCCACACUGAGUCCCAUGGAGGAGCCCACAGGGGUGCAGGUGAAUGCAACCCACUGAAGGCCCAUAGAGGAGAAGAUUCUGUGACAAACCUGCAGCUUUUGGAGAGGAGUCCAUGGUGGAGCAAGAGGUCUGAGAGAGCUAUCACCCAUGGGGGACCCAUGCUGGAACUCACUGUUCUUGAAGGAUGGCCUCCAUGCUACAGUCCCAUCAAGGAGCAGUUACUGAAGAAAUACAGCCUGUGGUAAGCUGAUGUUGGAUUAGUUUAGGAGAGAUGGCAUCCCAUGGGAGAUAAUGUAUGCUGGAGCAGAGGAAGAGAGUGAAGAUGAAGGAGCAGCAAAAAUGAAGCAUUACAGACUGACCAUAGCCCAUUCUCCCUGCUUCCUUGUUCUGCAGUGGGAGAGGAGUAAGAAGAAGGUGUUUUUAUUUUGCUUUAAUUUCUCACUGUUCUAGUUUCCUAUUAAUAGCAAAUAAAUUAUAUUAAUCUCCUUACACUGAGUCAUUUUGCUCACGACAAUAAUUGUUAAGUAAGUGGUCUUCCUAUCC